Molecule: transfer RNA, 73 nt
Filed under: Lepus townsendii (white-tailed jackrabbit)
Lineage: Eukaryota; Metazoa; Chordata; Mammalia; Lagomorpha; Leporidae
Description: tRNA-Gly
Rfam family: tRNA
About the family: Transfer RNA (tRNA) molecules are approximately 80 nucleotides in length. Their secondary structure includes four short double-helical elements and three loops (D, anti-codon, and T loops). Further hydrogen bonds mediate the characteristic L-shaped molecular structure. tRNAs have two regions of fundamental functional importance: the anti-codon, which is responsible for specific mRNA codon recognition, and the 3' end, to which the tRNAs corresponding amino acid is attached (by aminoacyl-tRNA synthetases). tRNAs cope with the degeneracy of the genetic code in two manners: having more than one tRNA (with a specific anti-codon) for a particular amino acid; and 'wobble' base-pairing, i.e. permitting non-standard base-pairing at the 3rd anti-codon position.
Source: RNAcentral
UACUCUUUUAGUAUUAACUAGUACAUCUGACUUCCAAUCAGUUAGUUUUGGUAUCAAAUCCAAGAAAGAGUAA